Molecule: long non-coding RNA, 1621 nt
Organism: Cyprinus carpio (common carp)
Lineage: Eukaryota; Metazoa; Chordata; Actinopteri; Cypriniformes; Cyprinidae
Exons: 3
Source: RefSeq, a predicted model, not a curated record
GUAUUUUUUCCAUUGUACAAGUCAAUAGGAACCGAAACUGGUUACCAGCAUACUUCAGAAUAUCUUCUUAUACAUUCCACAGAAGAAAGUCAGUCAUACAAGUUUGGAAUGUCAUGAGGGAUGAUGACCAGCCGUGAUUAUGCUUUGGAAACCUGUCUCAGCCUCCAGCUAAACUGCUCAUCCAUGACCAGUUGAUGGUAGUGUGGCCGACGGAGGAAGAUCGGACUGUGUGUGCAUGCGCCUGGUCACCCCAUCACAGGAUCCCUCUGGAGCUCAGCCAACCUUUAUUACUGAGCAAAAGAGGGAAACAGGCCUGUCACAGGCAAAGUGAUAAAGCAUCAUUACCACACUGCAGAGGAGGAAUGAGGGCAGCCUGCUCUGACACAACUCCUUUCAUAAAGAGCUUCGCUCCAACAUAAUAGACAGCCAGUCAAAGAACUCCAGCAAAGAACAAAAUGACUAGUCCAGCCAAAUCCUUUGCUUGUAUUGACAUGCCCUCUUUCAUUACAUCCCACUGUGCUGUACUGCACCACAGGCAGGGCUCAGGCUGAGGCUGGUGUGACUUUACGGACAUCGCCAUCGGAUCUUUCACACGACAGACAUACUGCUGCCAUGGUUUGCUUCAGCCUCAUAUCCACAGUUUGCGGCUGAAAUAUAGUCUUUAUUUCUUCAUCCAUAUUUGUCUUCUCAUCGUUUCAAGGCCAUGAAGUAAUGCACCUUACUUUCCUCAUUCAGUUCCGAGUAAUAAAUGUAAAGGAUUGUGGGGUGAUUUUAUGACUAACAUCCAUCGUUUUCUGUAGAUGGCAGUAUUUAGUCAAGCAUUUUUUAGUGCAUUGUGCACUUUCCCAUGUCUGCCUGGAAAGAGUGUAUGACUGUAUGUGAGGACAGAAAGUAACCUCAGAGACAAAUGCAUGCGUGUCUCUGUGUCCACACAACAAAUUUUUAACCGUAAACAAACAGUUUGAAUGCCAUGGCUUGUUAGAAUGUUUAAACAAAAUAACUUUAGUGUGAAUUUAAAAUCUCUCCUUUUUAAUUUUCCUCAUCUAUUUUCAUAAGAGCUUGAAUUGUAUUGUAAUUAUAUUAUCUCUAAAGCCUUUGAUAGAGAUGUUUAAAGAGACAAUCACAUAAGCUUUUGUGACAAAAAGGCUCUCUAACUAUGCUUGCUGAAUUUUAAGUUCAACAUUUGUAUGUCUUUAGAGCCGGCUUAUAAAUAUGUCAGAUAGCCCUCCUGGUGUGAAGAGGUGGCAAAUGUCAUAUUUUAAUUUCAUAAAGCGCUGUUAUUAAAUUUGAGCUAUUAAAUCAUCCUUGAUUGAGUUUGUCUCAAGUGUGAAUACGCAACAUAUUGUAGGCAGGAUUUUGCAUGGGCAUGCUAUGUGCUGACAAUGCCAGGAUUCACUGCUGUUAUGGGCUUUAAGGUUAAAUCAAUUGUUUAUUAAUUUUUUAAACUGAAACAAUUAGUUUAACAAAUAGAUGUUAUCGCCACCCAUGAUUAACAAUCCCUCCAAGACCUUGGGAAGCAUCUUUUAAGCCAUUCCACUUAGCAAGACUGUAAGAAAUCCCAUGAAAGCUCCCUAUUUAUUCUAAUUCUGCUUUCCAGCCUCUUUCCAUUUCAUUAUAACUC